GUGAGGAAUUUUCCGCAAUGGGCGAAAGCCUGACGGAGCAAUGCCGCGUGAAGGAUGAAGGCCUAUGGGUUGUAAACUUCUUUCCUUAGAGAAGAAUAUUGACGGUAUCUGAGGAAUAAGCAUCGGCUAACUCUGUGCCAGCAGCCGCGGUAAGACAGAGGAUGCAAGCGUUAUCCGGAAUGAUUGGGCGUAAAGCGUCUGUAGGUGGCUUCAAAAGUCUCCUGUCAAAGAUCAGGGCUUAACCCUGGGCCGGCAGGAGAAACACUGAGGCUAGAGUUUGGUAGGAGCAGAGGGAAUUCCCGGUGGAGCGGUGAAAUGCGGAGAGAUCGGGAGGAACACCAAAGGCGAAAGCACUCUGCUGGGCCACAACUGACACUGAGAGACCAAAGCGAGGGGAGCAAAAGGGAUUAGAUACCCCAGUAGUCC
Molecule: ribosomal RNA, 426 nt
Filed under: uncultured bacterium
Lineage: Bacteria
Description: partial 16S ribosomal RNA
Rfam family: Bacterial small subunit ribosomal RNA
Source: RNAcentral